GACAUGUACGUGGUACGAAGGCGAAAGCCUAAGGACCUUUCGGGGAGCGUACACAGGUGCUGCAUGGCUGUCGUCAGCUCGUGCCGUGAGGUGUCGGGUUAAGUCCUGUAACGAGCGCAACCCUUGCCCUUAGUUACAAGUGUCUAAGGGGACUGCCGGCGGGAAGCCGGAGGAAGGUGGGGAUGACGUCAAGUCAGCAUGGCCCUUAUGUCCAGGGCUACACACACGCUACAAUGGUCAGUACAAAGGGUAGCGAAGUCGCGAGGCGGAGCGAAUCUCAACAAAGCUGAUCGUAGUUCGGAUUGCAGGCUGCAACCCGCCUGCAUGAAGCUGGAGUUGCUAGUAACCGCGCGUCAGCCAUAGUGCGGUGAAUACGUACCCGGGGCUUGUACACACCGCCCGUCACGUCAUGGGAGUCGGUAACGCCUGAAGCCGGUAGUCUGGCCCGCAAGGGGGGACGCUGUCGGAGGCGGGACUGGCAACUGGGACGAAGUCGUAACAAGGUAACCAAGGGCGAA
RNAcentral lists this ribosomal RNA (518 nucleotides) under uncultured organism. RNAcentral describes it as "bacterial SSU rRNA". It matches the Rfam family "Bacterial small subunit ribosomal RNA", at positions 983 to 1510 of the family's 1533-position model. The record is from RNAcentral.